This is a long non-coding RNA of Ciona intestinalis (vase tunicate), 300 nucleotides long. RefSeq lists it as uncharacterized. The record is from RefSeq and is a predicted model, not a curated record. NCBI's taxonomy places the organism in Eukaryota, Metazoa, Chordata, Ascidiacea, Phlebobranchia, Cionidae.
AAAUCAGUCACUUUAUCAUCUUCUUCAAGUGAGCAAAUAUAAAUCAUCAUGGACCGCAAAUUUCUUCUUCUUCUCGUCUUGGUUCUCGUCACCGUCCAGCUUGUGGAUAUUGCAACAUGCGACGAUUUCUGGACUAGACGUCGUACCAGCUGGAAGUGGAAUGAGCAGAAUGCUCAACAAUUGAGAGAUGCACGUGACGCCCUUGAAGACGACUUUUUGUUGGCCAAUGCUUUCCAAUAAAAUGAAUCGACUGUCAUUUUUGCGUUCCGUUGGAGACAAAUAAAAAACGACGAAUAAUAA